GAUGAACGCUGGCGGCGUGCCUAAUACAUGCAAGUCGAGCGAACAGACGAGGAGCUUGCUCCUCUGACGUUAGCGGCGGACGGGUGAGUAACACGUGGAUAACCUACCUAUAAGACUGGGACAACUUCGGGAAACAGGAGCUAAUACCGGAUAAUAUAUUGAACCGCAUGGUUCAAUAGUGAAAGACGGUUUUGCUGUCACUUAUAGAUGGAUCCGCGCCGCAUUAGCUAGUUGGUAAGGUAACGGCUUACCAAGGCAACGAUGCGUAGCCGACCUGAGAGGGUGAUCGGCCACACUGGAGCUGAGACACGGUCCAGACUCCUACGGGAGGCAGCAGUAGGGAAUCUUCCGCAAUGGGCGAAAGCCUGACCGAGCAACGCCGCGUGAGUGAUGAAGGUCUUCGGAUCGUAAAACUCUGUUAUUAGGGAAGAACAAAUGUGGAAGUAACUAUGCACGUCUUGACGGUACCUAAUCAGAAAGCCACGGCUAACUACGUG
RNAcentral lists this ribosomal RNA (497 nucleotides) under uncultured bacterium. Its description in RNAcentral is "partial 16S ribosomal RNA". It matches the Rfam family "Bacterial small subunit ribosomal RNA", at positions 28 to 507 of the family's 1533-position model. The record is from RNAcentral.